CUCAAAGGGACAGAGGAAGAAAUCUGGGGGAGCAGACUGCUGAAAAACCACUGUGCUAAAAAACCCCUAAAAAUCAGGAUUUUCCCUUAUGGACUGAAAGAAGCCCUAUUAAAAUCCUAUCUUCUGGAAAGCGUCAGAGAGGCAGGAGCGUAGAUGUCUGCUUCCUGAGGAAGUAUUUUUAGCUUCUGAAUGAAACAAGUCACGGACAAAAAAAAAAGAUAUGGUGGAUCUGCUCAUCCUCACAAGCUGGCAGGCUCAGGGCCUGAGUCAUGUUCCCCAAACCCUCCAGCACGUGGAGAUGACGCUCGGGGUCACGGAUGAGCUGCCUUUCCCUGUGUCCCAGCCUACACUCCAUGCGAAACCACGCUGGAAAAUCCAGGAUGCGUUGGGAUGAGGGUUUCCAAGGAAAAUUUCCACCUCCUGAGCAGAACGAGGAAGGAGCUCACUGUGGCCACACAAGAUCUGAAACCAAGGGGGUGUUUUGGGUCCUUCCUGGUGAGGAUCUUCACCUUUUUCAGAUGUCAAGAAGCCACCAAGGUGUCUUCCAAAGCAACGUAUCAGCGAGCUGA
This 569-nucleotide long non-coding RNA is filed under the name Parus major (Great Tit). Its description in RNAcentral is "lncRNA (ENSPMJG00000013921.1)". The record is from RNAcentral. Lineage: Eukaryota; Metazoa; Chordata; Aves; Passeriformes; Paridae.